UAUUUUGACUAUACAAAGGUAUUGUAAUAAGAUUUUAAUUGAAUGCUAAGAGAAUGGAAUUACAAGGAAUAACUAUUUUAAACUUAAAAAUUAAAGUUAUUUUAAUUUGUGAAGAAACAAUUAUUAAAAUUAAGGACAAGAAGACCCUAAGAAUUUUAAAAUUAAUAAGUUUUUAUAAAAAAAAAUUAUUGAUUUUUAGUUGGGGCAACUAAAAAAUAUUAUAAACUUUUUUUUAAAUAAAAUGAUCCAUUAUUAAUGAUUAUUUGGAAAAAUACUCUAGGGAUAACAGCGUAAUAAUUUUUGAUAGAACAUAUAGACAAAAUAGUUUGCGACCUCGAUGUUGGAUUAGGAUUCUUUUUUAAUGAAGAUGUUAAAAAAAGAAGUUUGUUCAACUUUUAAAGUCCU
This 405-nucleotide ribosomal RNA is filed under the name Dermacentor albipictus. RNAcentral's name for it is "partial 16S ribosomal RNA". Lineage: Eukaryota; Metazoa; Arthropoda; Arachnida; Ixodida; Ixodidae. The record is from RNAcentral.